This 82-nucleotide transfer RNA is filed under the name Firmicutes bacterium CAG:631. It matches the Rfam family "tRNA". Rfam says of the family: Transfer RNA (tRNA) molecules are approximately 80 nucleotides in length. Lineage: Bacteria; Bacillati; Bacillota. The record is from Rfam by way of RNAcentral.
GCCGUUAUGGCGGAAUUGGUAGACGCGAUGGUCUCAAACACCAUUGGAGAAAUCCAUGUCGGUUCGACUCCGACUAACGGCA